Molecule: long non-coding RNA, 825 nt
Filed under: Carica papaya (papaya)
Lineage: Eukaryota; Viridiplantae; Streptophyta; Magnoliopsida; Brassicales; Caricaceae
Description: long non-coding RNA (CPAP_LNC005371)
Source: RNAcentral
AUUGAAAGGAAAAUAGGGGAAGAAAAGAUGAAAAGGACGAACUUUACCUCGUUUGCCUCGGUCCCCCCGUCACAUGGCGUCUCGAUCAUUUCCUCUUCCUCUUUUUUCCUUUAGGUUCAACUUCCACACUCUCCUGCCUCCGUCCCUCUCUUCUUUUCUUCCUCACUCGUGGCGAUCCCUCUUUGGCUCCCCUUUUUUUCCCCCUCAGCCCCUCCUAUCUUUUCUUCUCCUCCCUCCUUUUUUUCUCUUGUACCUUCCCUCUUCCUUCCCUCUCCUUUUUUCUUCCUCUCGACUUCCCUGUGCGACCUCUCUUCAUCCUUCCCUUCCCGAUCACUCCUCUCUCUUCUUCCUCUCUCUUUUUCAGUUACUCUUCAAAAUGAAGAGAAAACUCUAAUCUCUUCCUUUUUUUUAUACCCAUUCCUUCAACGUUGGAUCUUCAUGACUCGAUCUGGACCAUCCAUUUUCUUUUAAAUCUCCUCCAUUCAAUCUCUUCAAGUGGUCCAAUCUAGGUCAUCCAUUCUCCUUAUUUCCUUUGCCCCCUUCAACUUCUCCUUAUUUAUGUUUUUGUCCCCUUUUUUCUUUCCUACUUUCAUUUAAGUCCCUAAAUUUACUUAAAAGCCCAAAUUUUAUUUACAUUUCUUUUCCUUUAAGUUGAUAUUACAGGUAGAAAUGAGAUAAUAGACGAUAUAAUUUUAGUGGUUGAUUGAAACUGUCAUAAAAGUUGAAAUGUUGCUAGGUAAUAUAUGAGAAAUAGAGGAACUCAUGUGUCCAUUUCCUGGCCACCCUAUUUAUUUCUUUACUUGAAAAAAAUAGUUGUUUAACUAU